This 59-nucleotide small RNA is filed under the name Bacillus massilioanorexius AP8. Its description in RNAcentral is "Streptococcus sRNA SpF59 (ldcC RNA)". It matches the Rfam family "Streptococcus sRNA SpF59 (ldcC RNA)". RNAcentral also lists the same sequence under 2 other names. Lineage: Bacteria; Bacillati; Bacillota; Bacilli; Caryophanales; Bacillaceae. The record is from Rfam by way of RNAcentral.
UGACCACUUACCUUCUAUGAGGAAGUCAAGGCCAUACGGACAGCCGGGUCAAAUGCCGA